GUGAAUCAUCAAAUUUUUGAACGCAAAUUGCGCUUCCUGGCAUCCCGGGAAGUAUGCCUGUUUGAGGGUCAGUAUUAAUAAUAAGUCGGUUUAGUGACAAAUUGUGAGGUUUCCGGAGUUUGGGCUAUUUUAACAUUUUUGGUUAAGAGGGUUAAAAUUGACCUUUUUUGCGCAUUUUUAAAAGUACAUAACUUUUUUUUGUUCGUCUAUUGCUACUGCCAGAAUCUUCAUUGAUGCGAUCACA
RNAcentral lists this unclassified non-coding RNA (244 nucleotides) under Glomeromycetes sp. RNAcentral's name for it is "partial contains 5.8S ribosomal RNA and internal transcribed spacer 2". The stretch from base 1 to 71 matches the Rfam family "5.8S ribosomal RNA", at positions 84 to 154 of the family's 154-position model. Lineage: Eukaryota; Fungi; Glomeromycota; Glomeromycetes. The record is from RNAcentral.